UGGGGAAUCUUGCGCAAUGCGCGAAAGCGUGACGCAGCAACGCCGCGUGGGGGAAGAAGGCCUUCGGGUUGUAAACUCCUUUCAGGAGGGACGAAGGGCAGGCCGCGAAUAGCGUGCUUGUCUGACGGUACCUCCAGAAGAAGCCCCGGCUAACUACGUGCCAGCAGCCGCGGUAAUACGUAGGGGGCAAGCGUUGUCCGGAAUCAUUGGGCGUAAAGCGCGCGUAGGCGGCCUCGUAAGUCCGCUGUGAAAGUCAAAGGCUCAACCUUUGAAUGCCGGUGGAUACUGCGAGGCUAGAGUCCGGAAGAGGCGAGUGGAACUCCUGGUGUAGCGGUGGAAUGCGCAGAUAUCAGGAAGAACACCAACGGCGAAGGCAGCUCGCUAGGACGGUACUGACGCUAAGGCGCGAAAGCGUGGGGAGCAAACAG
Molecule: ribosomal RNA, 428 nt
Filed under: uncultured bacterium
Lineage: Bacteria
Description: bacterial SSU rRNA
Rfam family: Bacterial small subunit ribosomal RNA
Source: RNAcentral